Molecule: ribosomal RNA, 448 nt
Filed under: uncultured organism
Description: partial 16S ribosomal RNA
Rfam family: Bacterial small subunit ribosomal RNA
Source: RNAcentral
ACUCCUGCGGGAGGCAGCAGUGGGGAAUCUUGCGCAAUGGGCGAAAGCCUGACGCAGCCAUGCCGCGUGAAUGAUGAAGGUCUUAGGAUUGUAAAAUUCUUUCACCGGGGACGAUAAUGACGGUACCCGGAGAAGAAGCCCCGGCUAACUUCGUGCCAGCAGCCGCGGUAAUACGAAGGGGGCUAGCGUUGCUCGGAAUUACUGGGCGUAAAGGGAGCGUAGGCGGACAUUUAAGUCAGGGGUGAAAUCCCGGGGCUCAACCUCGGAAUUGCCUUUGAUACUGGGUGUCUUGAGUAUGAGAGAGGUGUGUGGAACUCCGAGUGUAGAGGUGAAAUUCGUAGAUAUUCGGAAGAACACCAGUGGCGAAGGCGACACACUGGCUCAUUACUGACGCUGAGGCUCGAAAGCGUGGGGAGCAAACAGGAUUAGAAACCUCGGUAGUCCCAUG